RNAcentral lists this ribosomal RNA (497 nucleotides) under uncultured bacterium. RNAcentral describes it as "partial 16S ribosomal RNA". It matches the Rfam family "Bacterial small subunit ribosomal RNA", at positions 28 to 507 of the family's 1533-position model. The record is from RNAcentral.
GAUGAACGCUGGCGGCGUGCCUAAUACAUGCAAGUCGAGCGAACAGACGAGGAGCUUGCUCCUCUGACGUUAGCGGCGGACGGGUGAGUAACACGUGGAUAACCUACCUAUAAGACUGGGAUAACUUCGGGAAACCGGAGCUAAUACCGGAUAAUAUAUUGAACCGCAUGGUUCAAUAGUGAAAGACGGUUUUGCUGUCACUUAUAGAUGGAUCCGCGCCGCAUUAGCUAGUUGGUAAGGUAACGGCUUACCAAGGCAACGAUGCGUAGCCGACCUGAGAGGGUGAUCGGCCACACUAGAACUGAGACACGGUCAAGACUCCUAAGGGAGGCAGCAGUAGGGAAUCUUCCGCAAUGGGCGAAAGCCUGACGGAGCAACGCCGCGUGAGUGAUGAAGGUCUUCGGAUCGUAAAACUCUGUUAUUAGGGAAGAACAAAUGUGUAAGUAACUAUGCACGUCUUGACGGUACCUAAUCAGAAAGCCACGGCUAACUACGUG